GAUGAAGAACGCAGUGAAAUGCGAUAAGUAAUGUGAAUUGCAGAAUUCAGUGAAUCAUCGAAUCUUUGAACGCACCUUGCGCUCCUUGGUAUUCCGAGGAGCAUGCCUGUUUGAGUGUCAUGAAAUUCUCAACCUUUCUGGCUUUUGCUAGUCAGGCUUGGAUUAUGGGAGCUGCUGGCUUUUGAAGUCGGCUCUUCUAAAAUGUAUUAGCAAGAUCAUUGCUGCUCAUCAUUGGUAUGAUAAUUAUCUAUAUCAUUGAGAGUCAGUUUCCUUUAUUGGAAGAUUUUGCUCCUAACGGUCUUUAGCAAGACAACAUUUGACGAUUUUGACCUCAAAUCAGGUAGGACUACCCGCUGAACUUAAGCAUAUCAAUAAGCGGAGGA
This 383-nucleotide unclassified non-coding RNA is filed under the name soil metagenome. Its description in RNAcentral is "partial contains 5.8S ribosomal RNA, internal transcribed spacer 2, and large subunit ribosomal RNA". The stretch from base 1 to 120 matches the Rfam family "5.8S ribosomal RNA", at positions 35 to 154 of the family's 154-position model. The record is from RNAcentral.